AGCAGCCGCGGUAAUUCCAGCUCCAAUAGCGUAUAUUAAAGUUGUUGCAGUUAAAAAGCUCGUAGUUGAAUUUCGGGGUCAGUAGGUCGGUCGUGCCAACGGUAUGAACUGGUCUCACUGAUUCCUCCCUCUUGUAGAACCGUGAUGCCAUUAAUUUGGUGUUGCGGGGAAACAGGACUGUUACUUUGAAAAAAUUAGAGUGUUUAAAGCAAGCUAACGCUUGAAUACAUUAGCAUGGAAUAAUGAAAUAGGACGUCGAUCUUAUUUUGUUGGUUUCUAGGGUUGACGUAAUGAUUAAUAGGGAUAGUUGGGGGCAUUAGUAUUCAAUUGUCAGAGGUGAAAUUCUUGGAUUUAUUGAAGACUAACUACUGCGAAAGCAUUUGCCAAGGAUGUUUUCAUUAAUCAAGAACGAAAGUUAGGGGAUCGAAGACGAUCAGAUACCGUCGUAGUCUUAACCAUAAACUAUGCCGACUAGGGAUCGGAUGAUGUUAAUUUUUAAUGACUCAUUCGGCGCCUUACG
RNAcentral lists this ribosomal RNA (520 nucleotides) under uncultured Glomus. RNAcentral describes it as "SSU rRNA". It matches the Rfam family "Eukaryotic small subunit ribosomal RNA", at positions 569 to 1092 of the family's 1831-position model. Lineage: Eukaryota; Fungi; Glomeromycota; Glomeromycetes; Glomerales; Glomeraceae. The record is from RNAcentral.